AUACCUUUCUCGGCCUUUUGGCUAAGAUCAAGUGUAGUAUCUGUUCUUAUCAGUUUAAUAUCUGAUAUGUGAACCAAUGGUUCACACGAUAUUAAAUUUAUUUUUUAAGGGAGAGGGUCAAAUGCAGUGGCUUGCUACUGUGGCUCUCAAGCAUUGGCUUUGCUUUGCACUACUGCAGGGCUGGGUGCAUCCCUC
RNAcentral lists this small nuclear RNA (195 nucleotides) under Vigna angularis (adzuki bean). RNAcentral's name for it is "snRNA U2". It matches the Rfam family "U2 spliceosomal RNA". From Rfam's summary of the family: U2 is a small nuclear RNA (snRNA) component of the spliceosome (involved in pre-mRNA splicing). Complementary binding between U2 snRNA (in an area lying towards the 5' end but 3' to hairpin I) and the branchpoint sequence (BPS) of the intron results the bulging out of an unpaired adenosine, on the BPS, which initiates a nucleophilic attack at the intronic 5' splice site, thus starting the first of two transesterification reactions that mediate splicing. RNAcentral also lists the same sequence under 1 other name. The record is from Rfam by way of RNAcentral. Lineage: Eukaryota; Viridiplantae; Streptophyta; Magnoliopsida; Fabales; Fabaceae.